UCGUAACAAGGUUUCCGUAGGUGAACCUGCGGAAGGAUCAUUACCGAGUGCAGGUCUGCCCCCGGGCAGGCCUAACCUCCCACCCGUGAAUACCUGACCAACGUUGCUUCGGCGGUGCGCCCCCCCCCGGGGGUAGCCGCCGGAGACCACACCGAACCUCCUGUCUUUAGUGUUGUCUGAGCUUGAUAGCAAACCUAUUAAAACUUUCAACAAUGGAUCUCUUGGUUCCGGCAUCGAUGAAGAACGCAGCGAACUGCGAUAAGUAAUGUGAAUUGCAGAAUUCAGUGAAUCAUCGAGUCUUUGAACGCACAUUGCGCCCCCUGGCAUUCCGGGGGGCAUGCCUGUCCGAGCGUCAUUGCUGCCCUUCAAGCCCGGCUUGUGUGUUGGGUCGUCGUCCCCCCCGGGGGACGGGCCCGAAAGGCAGCGGCGGCACCGCGUCCGGUCCUCGAGCGUAUGGGGCUUUGUCACCCGCUCGAUUAGGGCCGGCCGGGCGCCAGCCGGCGUCUCCAACCUUCUAUUUUACCAGGUUGACCUCGGAUCAGGUAGGGAUACCCGCUGAACCUAAGCAUAUCA
RNAcentral lists this unclassified non-coding RNA (573 nucleotides) under Aspergillus calidoustus. Its description in RNAcentral is "sequence contains 18S rRNA gene, ITS1, 5.8S rRNA gene, ITS2, 28S rRNA gene". The stretch from base 202 to 355 matches the Rfam family "5.8S ribosomal RNA". Lineage: Eukaryota; Fungi; Ascomycota; Eurotiomycetes; Eurotiales; Aspergillaceae. The record is from RNAcentral.